GAUCAUGGCUCAGGAUGAACGCUGGCGGCGUGCCUAAUACAUGCAAGUAGAACGCUGAAGCUUGGUGCUUGCACCGAGCGGAUGAGUUGCGAACGGGUGAGUAACGCGUAGGUAACCUACCUCUUAGCGGGGGAUAACUAUUGGAAACGAUAGCUAAUACCGCAUAAAAGUCGGCAUUGCAUGAUGUUGACUUGAAAGGUGCAACUGCAUCACUAAGAGAUGG
RNAcentral lists this ribosomal RNA (223 nucleotides) under uncultured bacterium. RNAcentral describes it as "partial 16S ribosomal RNA". It matches the Rfam family "Bacterial small subunit ribosomal RNA", at positions 15 to 228 of the family's 1533-position model. The record is from RNAcentral.